Molecule: ribosomal RNA, 458 nt
Filed under: uncultured bacterium
Lineage: Bacteria
Description: partial 16S ribosomal RNA
Rfam family: Bacterial small subunit ribosomal RNA
Source: RNAcentral
CCUACGGGAGGCAGCAGUGAGGAAUAUUGGUCAAUGGGCGAGAGCCUGAACCAGCCAAGUCGCGUGAGGGAGUACUGCCCUAUGGGUUGUAAACCUCUUUUGUCGGGGAGCAAAAGCCGGACGUGUCCGGCUGUGAGAGUUCCCGAAGAAAAAGCAUCGGCUAACUCCGUGCCCGCAGCCGCGGUAAUACGGGGGAUGCGAGCGUUUACCGGAUUUAUUGGGUUUUAAGGGUGCGCCGGCGGGUUUUUAAGUCAGCGGUAAAAUCGUGGGGCUCAACCCCAUCCAGCCGUUGUAACUGGGGAUCUAGAGUGUGCGAGAGGUAUGCGGAAUGCGUGGUGUAGCGGUGAAAUGCAUAGAUAUCACGCAGAACCCCGAUUGCGAAGGCAGCAUACCGGUGCACAACUGACGCUCAGGCACGAAAGCGUGGGUAUCUAACAGGAUUAGAUACCCGAGUAGUC